UGCCAGCCGCCGCGGUAAUACGGAGAGUGCGAGCGUUGUUCGGAAUCAUUGGGCGUAAAGCGCGUGCAGGCGGGUCGUUAAGUCUGGUGUGAAAGCCCCCGGCUCAACCGGGGAAGUGCACUGGAUACUGGCGACCUUGAGUACGGGAGAGGGAAGUGGAAUUCCGAGUGUAGAGGUGAAAUUCGUAGAUAUUCGGAGGAACACCAGUGGCGAAGGCGACUUCCUGGACCGAUACUGACGCUGAGACGCGAAAGCGUGGGGAGCAAACAGGAUUAGAUA
This 279-nucleotide ribosomal RNA is filed under the name uncultured bacterium. Its description in RNAcentral is "partial 16S ribosomal RNA". It matches the Rfam family "Bacterial small subunit ribosomal RNA", at positions 506 to 784 of the family's 1533-position model. The record is from RNAcentral.